GAUGAAGAACGUAGCGAAAUGCGAUAAGUAGUGUGAAUUGCAGAAUUCAGUGAAUCAACGAAUCUUUGAACGCACAUUGCGCCCCUUGGUAUUCCAUGGGGCAUGCCUGUUCGAGCGUCAUUUGUACCUUCAAGCUUUGCUUGGUGUUGGGUGUUUGUCUCGCCUUUGCGUGUAGACUCGCCUUAAAAUAAUUGGCAGCCGGCGUAUUGAUUUCGGAGCGCAGUACAUCUCGCGCUUUGCACUCAUAACGACAGCGUCCAAAAGUACAUUUUACACUCUUGACCUCGGAUCAGGUAGGGAUACCCGCUGAACUUAAGCAUAUCAAUAAGCGGAGGA
RNAcentral lists this unclassified non-coding RNA (336 nucleotides) under soil metagenome. RNAcentral's name for it is "partial contains 5.8S ribosomal RNA, internal transcribed spacer 2, and large subunit ribosomal RNA". The stretch from base 1 to 120 matches the Rfam family "5.8S ribosomal RNA", at positions 35 to 154 of the family's 154-position model. The record is from RNAcentral.